ACCUGCUGCUCAUAUUUGUGAAAAGCAUCCACCCUGACUGAGCCGUAAUGCCACAACACUAGGAUGUCCCCCGACAGGCCCCUAGACUCCACAGUAUAGGAGCUCCAUGCCAUUAGGAUCCAUCACCUCGUCCAAUCAAAACUCGCACUAGACAAUCGAGUCUCAAUCAGAACACAAACAUCAGGCCUAUGCUGCUGAAUCAACCGGACGAAGGU
RNAcentral lists this long non-coding RNA (215 nucleotides) under Elaeis guineensis (African oil palm). RNAcentral's name for it is "long non-coding RNA (EGUI_LNC013184)". Lineage: Eukaryota; Viridiplantae; Streptophyta; Magnoliopsida; Arecales; Arecaceae. The record is from RNAcentral.